UGAAAUCAUUGUUACUGAUAAUCUUUGACAUGUCCAACACUGAUAUAAAACAAUGUCACAUCCCUCCACCAUGUAUUAUACUGAUAAUAUCUCCUAUUUUUUGUGUUUAUGUGUUUUAACAAGGCAACUGGUAUCAUGUUCUCAGACU
Long non-coding RNA from Sphaeramia orbicularis (orbiculate cardinalfish), 148 nucleotides. RefSeq lists it as uncharacterized. NCBI's taxonomy places the organism in Eukaryota, Metazoa, Chordata, Actinopteri, Kurtiformes, Apogonidae. The record is from RefSeq and is a predicted model, not a curated record. The transcript has 4 exons.